AAAUAAAGAAAGGAAAAAAGAUAAGAAAACAUACCUGUUAAUUUGGUGACAGUUGUUCUGAAUAACAAUCUUUGAAUGGAAAAAUAUCACAAUGAAGUCUGUUCUUCAAUGUAAAGAGAUAUAACUGCAAUGUAUAAGAUCAGUUUUACCCAUGACACAUAACCCUUUAUACAUUUCCGUGAAACAUGGAAGUGGUUAGAUGAGACUUUGCAGGGGUGUUGAGGUUUAUUUUAUAUUUAGAAUAUCUACCACAUUCUUAAUUCACUUUCUACGGUGGCCCACUGGUGCACAACACAACAACAUUAGCAAUGCACACGAAAGUUGAAAACACAACAACAUUAACAAAAAUGAAACAUUUAUAAAAACGCUGCAUUUCAGUAAACAAUCAACUACCCACAACUUUAAGUGACAACACAACAACAUUGGGUCACACCACAACAGCAUCAGCCCAGAACACAACAGAAUUAGCCCAAAACACAGCAACAUUUGCAGAAAUGCUGCAUUUCUAGUUGCUCACAACAGAAGUGCUCCAGACCAGUGCCAAGUGGAAUUAGUUGGGUUUCCAACAAAUAAUAUACAUUUCACUUCAUACCGGGGGACUGACUUUGGGCGCUGUUAUGUUAUUGUUUUCAUUAUUAGCUAGCUAUCGUGAACACUUAUCAGACUGUUUUCUUAUUGGCAAUGAGAAUUUACAUCUGUGCCCCACAAAGGAGGUAAUGUAGUAAUGAUCAAUCAAUGAAGAGGUCAGAAAAAGGAAGUUGGUGACAGUACAUCAUGACAUUAACAUGUCACAAAGAUGUGCAGUGCACAUUUCAUUGCCAGUGACAUCGCUGAGAGCAAAGUUGGAGGACGGUGGUACCUAAAAAUGUGUGGUUCCUAAUGUCUUCGUAUGGAAUAGUUAUAUUCAAAACAGACCUGGUGUUUGGGAAAGGCGACUGAAACCCCCUGCCCCUACAGAGGAAGACGAACGAGGCGAGAAAUGUUCGCUACAAAGAUGGAGUGUGCAGAUUCUGAUCCAAUCUAGACGCAUGAUCACUGUACAGGCUCUGAUCCCACAGCCCUGGACAGGGCCUUAAUAAUGGUGAACCAGGAGCAAGCAUGGGAAAUCCAAGCGCUUUCAACAAUGCUGGAAAACCUGACAACACAACACCACUUUCGUGUACAAUGGUUUACUGGGAUCUGACGAAGACAUGAUUUUACACAAGAUUUGCAACACCUGAGUUUGAUGAUUAUCCAGACCCAAAGGCUGUGAUUAACUGCACUGAACUCUGCUGCCAGACACCAUCUUCCCUACUCCUGCAGAGUGAGGUGUUUUCUUCAAGUUGCACUGUACCUUCAAAGGCAUGUUGGGAAUGUCACCACAUGGAGCUACCACUUUUGGGUCCUCUUUGUAUGCUGGUUCUGUGGGUGACAAGGAGAUUGUUAGGCAGCCAGGAAUUAUUUCCUUACUUAUCCCUGAUCAUGGCCUUUAUGGUGGAUGAUGUCUACCUCGUGGAUGAUCUGGUUCCAUGCAAGAUCUGACAGCCAGCUUUUCUGCAGAGGUGCCACAGAUUCAGAGAGUAAAGGAGCAGAAGCUGUUUGACACAGUCAUCCCUCUGACCGUCUCAGGCAGCAUCAACCAACUAUUUGCGUUGUCAUGCUUGCUGGUGAACAAUCAAAAUUUACUUUUGGUCAGAGCAUGGGUCAAGCUGGGGUAAAUGUACAUUUGUUUUUGUUCACUCUUAUUUGGAGUAAUCGUUAGGGAGAUGCUUUGGUGAUCCUUGAAUUAUUUUUUAAAGAUAACGAAUUGCAUGUUUAAGUAAUAGCUACAUAUAAUUAAAUGUUUAUUGAAUAUUACCUGAUUUUGUGCCUACCAAUAGAUUGUAGGGUACAUCACAAAUGUCAAAAUAUUUGUAAAAUAUAGUUGUGGAUGAAAUGUCAAUUAACUUCAUAUCAGUUGUUUGUGUAGAUCUUGGCCUUAAUAAGGAAAUUAGUUUUAGUAAACACAAAACAAAAUGAAAGAUUCAACAGCAUGUCUAUGUAAUACAGAAGAUAUACAUUUAUUAAGAAAUAUGAACUGUUAUUUGUUGAAAUUAUAUACAUUAAAAUACAUUCUUCAUACAAUUAGUUUUUUCUUCAUGGGAACUCUAAUAUUUGUUUGGAAAACUGAGUUUCUACAGGUGCUAAAAUGUAACAACAUAGCGCAAGCGAUAUUAUCGCUGUACUGGUUUGUAAUAUGUGGAAGUGGGUAUGAAACAUUCAGUCAUGGAAUAUGCUAAAGGCCUAUUUAAAAUAAUCCCAAUGCAAGUUUUUUAAU
This is a long non-coding RNA of Esox lucius (northern pike), 2296 nucleotides long. The record is from Ensembl. NCBI's taxonomy places the organism in Eukaryota, Metazoa, Chordata, Actinopteri, Esociformes, Esocidae.